Molecule: ribosomal RNA, 117 nt
Filed under: Demodex folliculorum
Lineage: Eukaryota; Metazoa; Arthropoda; Arachnida; Trombidiformes; Demodicidae
Description: partial 28S ribosomal RNA
Source: RNAcentral
AGCGUUGAGCUUAUACCUAACCAUAAUGUCAAUUUAUAAUAGUUGUAUGUAUUAAUUUAAAAGUUGAUAUAUAUAGCUUAAAGAGGAGAAGACAUUAUGAGUAAGAGGAACGCAAUG